GACGAACGCUGGCGGCGUGCUUAACACAUGCAAGUCGAACGGAAAGGCCCUGCUUUUGUGGGGUGCUCGAGUGGCGAACGGGUGAGUAACACGUGAGUAACCUGCCCUUGACUUUGGGAUAACUUCAGGAAACUGGGGCUAAUACCGGAUAGGAGCUCCUGCUGCAUGGGGGGGGUUGGAAAGUUUCGGCGGUUGGGGAUGGACUCGCGGCUUAUCCGCUUGUUGGUGGGGUAGUGGCUUACCAAGGCUUUGACGGGUAGCCGGCCUGAGAGGGUGACCGGCCACAUUGGGCCUGAGAUACGGCCCAGACUCCUACGGGCGGCAGCAGUGGGAAAUAUUGCACAAUGGGCGGGAGCCUGAUGCAGCAACGCCGCGUGCGGGAUGACGGCCUUCGGGUUGUAAACCGCUUUCGCCUGUGACGAAGCGUGAGUGACGGUAAUGGGUAAAGAAGCACCGGCUAACUACGUG
RNAcentral lists this ribosomal RNA (468 nucleotides) under uncultured bacterium. RNAcentral describes it as "partial 16S ribosomal RNA". It matches the Rfam family "Bacterial small subunit ribosomal RNA", at positions 28 to 507 of the family's 1533-position model. The record is from RNAcentral.